Molecule: ribosomal RNA, 587 nt
Filed under: uncultured bacterium
Lineage: Bacteria
Description: bacterial SSU rRNA
Rfam family: Bacterial small subunit ribosomal RNA
Source: RNAcentral
CCUACGGGAGGCAGCAGUAGGGAAUCUUCCGCAAUGGACGAAAGUCUGACGGAGCAACGCCGCGUGAACGAUGAAGGCCUUCGGGUCGUAAAGUUCUGUUGUUAGGGAAGAGCAAGUGCUAGUUGAAUAAGCUGGCACCUUGACGGUACCUAACCAGAAAGCCACGGCUAACUACGUGCCAGCAGCCGCGGUAAUACGUAGGUGGCAAGCGUUGUCCGGAAUUAUUGGGCGUAAAGCGCGCGCAGGCGGUUUCUUAAGUCUGAUGUGAAAGCCCCCGGCUCAACCGGGGAGGGUCAUUGGAAACUGGGAAACUUGAGUGCAGAAGAGGAAAGUGGAAUUCCAAGUGUAGCGGUGAAAUGCGUAGAGGUUUGGAGGAACACCAGUGGCGAAGGCGACUUUCUGGUCUGUAACUGACGCUGAGGCGCGAAAGCGUGGGGAGCAAACAGGAUUAGAUACCCUGGUAGUCCACGCUGUAAACGAUGAGUGCUAAGUGUUAGAGGGUUUCCGCCCUUUAGUGCUGAAGUUAACGCAUUAAGCACUCCGCCUGGGGAGUACGGUCGCAAGACUGAAACUCAAAGGAUUGACGG